RNAcentral lists this ribosomal RNA (377 nucleotides) under uncultured soil bacterium. RNAcentral describes it as "bacterial SSU rRNA". It matches the Rfam family "Bacterial small subunit ribosomal RNA", at positions 26 to 398 of the family's 1533-position model. The record is from RNAcentral.
AGAUUGAACGCUGGCGGCAGGCCUAACACAUGCAAGUCGAGCGGCAGCACGGGUACUUGUACCUGGUGGCGAGCGGCGGACGGGUGAGUAAUGCCUAGGAAUCUGCCUGAUAGUGGGGGGAUAACGUUCGGAAACGGCGCUAAUACCGCAUACGUCCUACGGGAGAAAGUGGGGGAUCUUCGGACCUCACGCUAUCAGAUGAGCCUAGGUCGGAUUAGCUAGUUGGUAGGGUAAAGGCCUACCAAGGCUACGAUCCGUAACUGGUCUGAGAGGAUGAUCAGUCACACUGGAACUGAGACACGGUCCAGACUCCGACGGGAGCAGCAGGUGGGAAUAUUGGAACAAGUGGGGACGAAAGGCCUUAGAACGUCCAAGCC